UAUUGCACCAGAAGUAGGUAGCCUAACGCAAGAGGGCGCUUACCACGGUGUGGUCGAUGACUGGGGUGAAGUCGUAACAAGGUAGCCGUAGGGGAACCUGCGGCUGGAUCACCUCCUUAA
This 120-nucleotide ribosomal RNA is filed under the name Escherichia coli. RNAcentral's name for it is "partial 16S ribosomal RNA". It matches the Rfam family "Bacterial small subunit ribosomal RNA", at positions 1413 to 1533 of the family's 1533-position model. Lineage: Bacteria; Pseudomonadati; Pseudomonadota; Gammaproteobacteria; Enterobacterales; Enterobacteriaceae. The record is from RNAcentral.